UCUCAAAGAUUAAGCCAUGCAUGUGUCAGUGCAAGCCUUUCCUUACGGUGAAACCGCGAAUUGCUCAUUAAAUCAGUCAUUAUCCGUUGGACAUUAUUGAACCGUGUCCUUACUCGGAUAACUGUGGUAAUUCUAGAGCUAAUACAUGCCACGAGUUCCCAAAGUGUUUUGCUUGACGCGAGUAGGACGCAAUUAUUAGAUCCAAAAAUUGUACCGAUUUCUUACUUGGUGUAAAAUUUGGUGAAUCUGGAUAAUCACUGUAGAGCGCUUAAUUCGUGCCGGCGCCUGACCUAUGAAGAGUCUGCCCUAUCAGCUUGAUUGUAGAUUAAAUGUCUACAAUGGCUAUAACGGGUAACGGGGAAUCAGGGUUCGAUUCCGGAGAGGGAGCCUGAGAAACGGCUACCACAUCUAAGGAAGGCAGCAGGCACGCAAAUUGUUCAAUCUUAGCUCGAGGAAGCAGUGACAAAAUAUCUUGAUGCGGGACUCUUCCGAGGCCUCGCAAUCAGGAUGCGUUUACUUUAAACCAGUACGCUGAACGCAAUUGGAGGGCAAGUCUGGUGCCAGCAACCGCGGUAAUUCCAGCUCCAAUAGCGUAUUUUUAAGUUGCUGCGGUUAAAAAGCUCGUAGUUGGACUUUAUACUCAGGCAGCCAGCCCUCGUUCGUUUGAGGUUAUUACUGCGCUGUGACUGAGUGUAUAUGAGACCGUCGAUACUUUUUAAUCUAUAAUCGUUGGUGCCCUUAAAUGGUUUAGGUAUAUUCGUUAUAAAAGUUUCGACUCUAUCACUUUGAAAAAAUUAGAGUGCUCAAAGCACUCAUUGCAUAAUUGCCUGAAUGGUAGUGCAUGGAAUGAUGAAAGAUGAUCUCUACCUCGUUAAGUUUAUGAUUAGAUUGGUUCUUUAAUUUGCACCAGGUAAAGAUUCGAGGUUUGAGAUAAUGAUUAAAGGGAACUGCCGGGGGCGUUUGUAUUACGGCGCUAGAGGUGAAAUUCUUGGACCGUCGUAAGACAAACUACUGCGAAAGCAUUCGCCAAGAAUGUUUUCAUUAAUCAAGAACGAAAGUUAGAGUUUAGAAGGAGAUCAGAUACCUCCCUAUUUCUAACCGUAAACUAUGCUAACCUGUUGUCCGUCGGAAGUCAUUUCCGAUGGACGAGCGACCCCAGGGAAACCAGAGUUUUUCUGUUCCGGGGGAAGUAUGGUUGCAAAGCUGAAACUUAAAGGAAUUGACGGAAGGGCMCCCCCAGGAGUGGAGCCUGCGGCUUAAUUUGACUCAACACGGGAAACCUCACCAGGCCCAGAAACAUUUAGGAUUGACAGAUUGAAAGCUCUUUCAUGAUUAUGAGGAUGGUGGUGCAUGGCCGUUCUUAGUUGGUGGAGCGAUCUGUCUGGUUAAUUCCGAUAACGAACGAGAUUCUCAUUUGCUAAAUAGAAGGUAGAUCUGAUCCCGAGAGUUCUUGUGGAAGCUUAUGUCGGGUAGUCUAUCUUUCUUCUUAGAAAAAUCAAUGGUGCUCUAAUCAGUUGACAGGAAGAGCAAUAACAGGUCUGUGAUGCCCUUAGAUGUUCUGGGCCGCACGCGCGCUACAAUGCGCGGUGCAACACGUCCCCCUUCUCCCUAAUGGAGUGGGUAACCGGUUCAAAUCCGGGCUUACUUGGGAUUGGGGCUUGCAAAUAUUUCCCAUAAACGAGGAAUUCCCAGUAAGCGUUGGCUCAUUCAAGUCGCGCUGAUUACGUCCCUGCCCUUUGUACACACCGCCCGUCGCUACUACCGAUUGAAUGUUUCAGUGAGAACACUGGACUGUCGCUCUAAAGUUUUGAGCUGACGGGAAGAUGUUCAAACUUGAUC
This 1839-nucleotide ribosomal RNA is filed under the name Paranarthrurella voeringi. RNAcentral describes it as "SSU rRNA". It matches the Rfam family "Eukaryotic small subunit ribosomal RNA". The record is from RNAcentral. Lineage: Eukaryota; Metazoa; Arthropoda; Malacostraca; Tanaidacea; Paranarthrurellidae.